AUUUAUCUGAUAGCUAUUUUAUCUCUAAACAUAUUUUCCCAGCUAAAACUACAAGAGUUUUAAUGCUUGUUUUCCACUGAAUAUGGUUCAACAAGUUUGGCUCUUCUGUUACAUUA
Small nucleolar RNA from Impatiens glandulifera, 116 nucleotides. Lineage: Eukaryota; Viridiplantae; Streptophyta; Magnoliopsida; Ericales; Balsaminaceae. The record is from RefSeq and is a predicted model, not a curated record.